GGGGGCAUAGCUCAGUUGGGAGAGCAGUAGACUGAAGACAUUCGUAUUCUAAAGGUCCCGCGUUCGAUCCGCGGUGCCCCCA
This 82-nucleotide transfer RNA is filed under the name Macrolepiota fuliginosa MF-IS2. It matches the Rfam family "tRNA". Rfam says of the family: Transfer RNA (tRNA) molecules are approximately 80 nucleotides in length. Their secondary structure includes four short double-helical elements and three loops (D, anti-codon, and T loops). Further hydrogen bonds mediate the characteristic L-shaped molecular structure. tRNAs have two regions of fundamental functional importance: the anti-codon, which is responsible for specific mRNA codon recognition, and the 3' end, to which the tRNAs corresponding amino acid is attached (by aminoacyl-tRNA synthetases). tRNAs cope with the degeneracy of the genetic code in two manners: having more than one tRNA (with a specific anti-codon) for a particular amino acid; and 'wobble' base-pairing, i.e. permitting non-standard base-pairing at the 3rd anti-codon position. Lineage: Eukaryota; Fungi; Basidiomycota; Agaricomycetes; Agaricales; Agaricaceae. The record is from Rfam by way of RNAcentral.